GGUGCUGCAUGGCUGUCGUCAGCUCGUGUCGUGAGAUGUUGGGUUAAGUCCCGCAACGAGCGCAACCCUUGUCAUUAGUUGCUACGAAAGGGCACUCUAAUGAAACUGCCGGUGACAAACCGGAGGAAGGUGGGGAUGACGUCCAGUCCUCAUGGCCCUUAUGGGUAGGGCUUCACACGUCAUACAAUGGUAGGUACAGAGGGCCGCCAACCCGCGAGGGGGAGCUAAUCCCACAAAGUGUAUCGUACUCCGGAUUGAUGUCUGCAACUCGACUGCCUGAAGUUGGAAUCGCUAGUAAUCGCGGAUCAACAUGUCGCGGUGAAUACGUUCCCGGCCCUUGUA
Molecule: ribosomal RNA, 342 nt
Filed under: uncultured Herminiimonas sp.
Lineage: Bacteria; Pseudomonadati; Pseudomonadota; Betaproteobacteria; Burkholderiales; Oxalobacteraceae
Description: bacterial SSU rRNA
Rfam family: Bacterial small subunit ribosomal RNA
Source: RNAcentral